RNAcentral lists this ribosomal RNA (435 nucleotides) under uncultured bacterium. RNAcentral's name for it is "partial 16S ribosomal RNA". It matches the Rfam family "Bacterial small subunit ribosomal RNA", at positions 29 to 507 of the family's 1533-position model. The record is from RNAcentral.
AGCGAACGCUGGCGGCAGGCUUAACACAUGCAAGUCGAGCGGGCAUCUUCGGAUGUCAGCGGCAGACGGGUGAGUAACACGUGGGAACGUACCCUUCGGUUCGGAACAACUCUGGGAAACUGGAGCUAAUACCGGAUACGCCCUUAUGGGGAAAGGUUUACUGCCGAAGGAUCGGCCCGCGUCUGAUUAGCUAGUUGGUGGGGUAACGGCCUACCAAGGCGACGAUCAGUAGCUGGUCUGAGAGGAUGAUCAGCCACACUGGGACUGAGACACGGCCCAGAAUCCUACGGGAGGCAGCAGUGGGGAAUAUUGGACAAUGGGCGCAAGCCUGAUCCAGCCAUGCCGCGUGAGUGAUGAAGGCCUUAGGGUUGUAAAGCUCUUCUGUCCGGGACGAUAAUGACGGUACCGGAAGAAUAAGCCCCGGCUAACUUCGUG